RNAcentral lists this ribosomal RNA (465 nucleotides) under Vreelandella stevensii. Its description in RNAcentral is "partial 16S ribosomal RNA". It matches the Rfam family "Bacterial small subunit ribosomal RNA", at positions 338 to 795 of the family's 1533-position model. Lineage: Bacteria; Pseudomonadati; Pseudomonadota; Gammaproteobacteria; Oceanospirillales; Halomonadaceae. The record is from RNAcentral.
CCUACGGGGGGCAGCAGUGGGGAAUAUUGGACAAUGGGGGCAACCCAGAUCCAGCCAUGCCGCGUGUGUGAAGAAGGCCCUCGGGUUGUAAAGCACUUUCAGUGAGGAAGAACGCCUGGUGGUUAAUACCCAUCAGGAAAGACAUCACUCACAGAAGAAGCACCGGCUAACUCCGUGCCAGCAGCCGCGGUAAUACGGAGGGUGCGAGCGUUAAUCGGAAUUACUGGGCGUAAAGCGCGCGUAGGUGGCUUGAUAAGCCGGUUGUGAAAGCCCCGGGCUCAACCUGGGAACGGCAUCCGGAACUGUCAAGCUAGAGUGCAGGAGAGGAAGGUAGAAUUCCCGGUGUAGCGGUGAAAUGCGUAGAGAUCGGGAGGAAUACCAGUGGCGAAGGCGGCCUUCUGGACUGACACUGACACUGAGGUGCGAAAGCGUGGGUAGCAAACAGGAUUAGAUACCCGAGUAAUC